GGCCAGGCUCCGUGCAACAGAGUGCCGUGAACUCCGCCAGGUCCGGAAGGAAGCAACGGUAACGGAAUACUCAGUGUGCCCCGGAAUCACCUGGUCUCC
This is a non-coding RNA of Leptospirillum ferrooxidans C2-3, 99 nucleotides long. It matches the Rfam family "Bacterial small signal recognition particle RNA". From Rfam's summary of the family: The signal recognition particle (SRP) is a universally conserved ribonucleoprotein involved in the co-translational targeting of proteins to membranes. Archaeal SRP consists of a 7S RNA and homologues of the eukaryotic SRP19 and SRP54 proteins. The record is from Rfam. Lineage: Bacteria; Pseudomonadati; Nitrospirota; Nitrospiria; Nitrospirales; Nitrospiraceae.